This 292-nucleotide ribosomal RNA is filed under the name uncultured bacterium. RNAcentral describes it as "partial 16S ribosomal RNA". The record is from RNAcentral.
GGACUACCCGGGUUUCUAAUCCUGUUUGCUCCCCACGCUUUCGCGUCUCAGCGUCAGUGUCUGUCCAGGUCGCCGCCUUCGCCACUGGUGUUCCUCCCGAUAUCUACGAAUUUCACCUCUACACCGGGAAUUCCGCGACCCUCUCCAGCACUCAAGCUCGCCAGUUUUCCGCGCACUUCCCUGGUUAAGCCAGGGGCUUUCACACGGAACUUAACAAGCCGCCUACAAGCGCUUUACGCCCAAUAAUUCCGAACAACGCUCGCACCCUCUGUAUUACCGCGGCUGCUGGCAC